GACAGAGGGUGCAAACGUCGUUCGGAUUUACUGGGCGUAAAGCGCGUGUAGGCGGCUUCGUAAGUUGGAUGUGAAAUCCCACGGCUCAACCGUGGACGUGCAUCCAAAACUACGUCGCUGGAGUCUCGGAGAGGAAGGUGGAAUGCUUGGUGUAGAGGUGAAAUUCGUAGAUAUCAAGCAGAACACCUGCGGCGAAGGCGGCCUUCUGGACGAUGACUGACGCUGAGACGCGAAAGCGUGGGGAGCAAACAGG
This 253-nucleotide ribosomal RNA is filed under the name uncultured bacterium. RNAcentral's name for it is "partial 16S ribosomal RNA". It matches the Rfam family "Bacterial small subunit ribosomal RNA", at positions 524 to 776 of the family's 1533-position model. The record is from RNAcentral.